RNAcentral lists this ribosomal RNA (253 nucleotides) under uncultured bacterium. RNAcentral describes it as "partial 16S ribosomal RNA". It matches the Rfam family "Bacterial small subunit ribosomal RNA", at positions 524 to 776 of the family's 1533-position model. The record is from RNAcentral.
UACGGAGGGUGCAAGCGUUAAUCGGAAUUACUGGGCGUAAAGUGUGCGCAGGUGGCCGCGCAAGUCGAGUGUGAAAUCCCCGAGCUUAACUUGGGAAUUGCGCUCGAAACUACGUGGCUCGAGUGUGGCAGAGGAAGGUGGAAUUCCACGUGUAGCGGUGAAAUGCGUAGAGAUGUGGAGGAACACCGAUGGCGAAGGCAGCCUUCUGGGCCAACACUGACGCUCAUGCACGAAAGCGUGGGGAGCAAACAGG